RNAcentral lists this ribosomal RNA (461 nucleotides) under uncultured Clostridiaceae bacterium. RNAcentral's name for it is "bacterial SSU rRNA". It matches the Rfam family "Bacterial small subunit ribosomal RNA", at positions 8 to 468 of the family's 1533-position model. Lineage: Bacteria; Bacillati; Bacillota; Clostridia; Eubacteriales; Clostridiaceae. The record is from RNAcentral.
AGAGUUUGAUCCUGGCUCAGGACGAACGCUGGCGGCGUGCCUAACACAUGCAAGUCGAGCGAUGAAACCCUUCGGGGUGGAUUAGCGGCGGACGGGUGAGUAACACGUGGGUAACCUGCCUCAAAGAGGGGAAUAGCCUCCCGAAAGGGAGAUUAAUACCGCAUAAUAUGUUUUGGUCGCAUGACCGAGACAUCAAAGGAGUAAUCCGCUUUGAGAUGGACCCGCGGCGCAUUAGCUAGUUGGUGAGGUAACGGCUCACCAAGGCGACGAUGCGUAGCCGACCUGAGAGGGUGAUCGGCCACAUUGGAACUGAGACACGGUCCAGACUCCUACGGGAGGCAGCAGUGGGGAAUAUUGCGCAAUGGGGGAAACCCUGACGCAGCAACGCCGCGUGAAUGAUGAAGGCCUUCGGGUUGUAAAGUUCUGUCUUCUGGGACGAUAAUGACGUACCAGAGAGAUCC